This 1322-nucleotide ribosomal RNA is filed under the name unidentified marine bacterioplankton. RNAcentral's name for it is "bacterial SSU rRNA". It matches the Rfam family "Bacterial small subunit ribosomal RNA", at positions 8 to 1377 of the family's 1533-position model. RNAcentral also lists the same sequence under 1 other name. The record is from RNAcentral.
AGAGUUUGAUCAUGGCUCAGAACGUACGCUGGCGGCACGCCUAACACAUGCAAGUCGAACGAAGUAGCAAUACUUAGUGGCAGACGGGUGAGUAACAUGUAGGUAUCUGCCCUUUGGCCUGGAAUAACACGAGGAAACUUGUGCUAAUACCGGAUAAGUCUUUACGGAGAAUGCUUUAUGCACCAUUGGAUGAGCCUGCACUUGAUUAGUUUGUUGGUGGGGUAAUGGCCUACCAAGACUGUGAUCAAUAGCUGAUUUGAGAGGAUGAUCAGCCACAUUGGGACUGAGACACGGCCCAAACUCCUACGGGAGGCAGCAGUGGGGAAUCUUGCACAAUGGAGGAAACUCUGAUGCAGCGAUGCCGCGUGAGUGAAGAAGGCCCUUGGGUUGUAAAGCUCUUUCGUCGGGGAAGAAAAUGACUGUACCCGAAUAAGAAGGUCCGGCUAACUUCGUGCCAGCAGCCGCGGUAAUACGAAGGGACCUAGCGUAGUUCGGAAUUACUGGGCUUAAAGAGUUCGUAGGUGGUUGAAAAAGUUGGUGGUGAAAUCCCAGAGCUUAACUCUGGAACUGCCAUCAAAACUUUUCAGCUAGAGUAUGAUAGAGGAAAGCAGAAUUUCUAGUGUAGAGGUGAAAUUCGUAGAUAUUAGAAAGAAUACCAAUUGCGAAGGCAGCUUUCUGGAUCAUUACUGACACUGAGGAACGAAAGCAUGGGUAGCGAAGAGGAUUAGAUACCCUCGUAGUCCAUGCCGUAAACGAUGUGUGUUAGACGUUGGAAAUUUAUUUUCAGUGUCGCAGCGAAAGCGAUAAACACACCGCCUGGGGAGUACGACCGCAAGGUUAAAACUCAAAUGAAUUGACGGGGACCCGCACAAGUAGUGGAGCAUGUGGUUUAAUUCGAAGAUACGCGCAGAACCUUACCAACACUUGACAUGUUCGUCGCGACUUUAAGAGAUUAAAGUUUUCGGUUCGGCCGGACGAAACACAGGUGCUGCAUGGCUGUCGUCAGCUCGUGUCGUGAGAUGUUGGGUUAAGUCCCGCAACGAGCGCAACCCUCACUUUUAGUUGCCAUCAUUAAGUUGGGCACUCUGAAAGAACUGCCAGUGAUAAGCUGGAGGAAGGUGGGGAUGACGUCAAGUCCUCAUGGCCCUUACGUGUUGGGCUACACACGUGCUACAAUGGUAUCUACAACAGGAAGCAAAACUGCGAAGUUAAGCAAAUCCUUAAAAGAUACCUCAGUUCGGAUUGCACUCUGCAACUCGAGUGCAUGAAGCUGGAAUUACUAGUAAUCGUGGAUCAGCGUGCCACGGUGAAUGCGUUCCCGG